AUGCAAUCUCUCUCUGAAUGUGCAAUGUCUUUCCUGCUCGGGAGUGCCGCGUCCUUCACAGUGGAUUGGUUCCUCUUUCGGAGCAGAGUGAAAGAAACUGAUUUCAAAGGGAAGGAAGAAAGGAAGAAGAUAUGUCUAUUUCAAGCAUUGCUGGAAGGAGUGGCUUAAUGUCUGAAACAUAAUGGAAAUGUCUGAAUUUGCUGAGCCAAUGAUUUAAAUUGAGGAUCUGCUCUCCAGUGCAUUCAGGAGCAAUGCAUUCCAACUAAGACAAAGUCAGGCAAAAACACAUCAGGAGGCCUGUGUGGAUCAACAACGUCAAAUUCAAGCAUGUAAAUGAAGACUCCGGGGGGUGGAAUCAAGGACGGAUAGCCUGGGAUGAAUACAGAGAUAUUAACUGAGCAGCCAGGGAUCAGAAUACAAACGCUAAAGACCUGAUGGAAUUAAAUCAACCCAUGAACAUCAAGGGAAACAAGAAAAGUUUCUAUAGCUAUGAUGGUGAUGAAGGGACGAUUAGGGAAAGUGUGGAGCCUCUCUACAAGGAAAUGGAAGAUCUGAUGACCCAGGAGAUGAAGAAGACUGAGUUACCCAAUGACUUUUCUGCCUUUGUGUUCAAUGACAAAUGUCCCAGCCAUGCUGCCUGACUCACAGGACAUAAAGCAGUUCCUCCUGGAAAGUAUGGUGAGACAUGUAUAAAAUAAGGAGAUGAUUGAUGACAGUCAAGAUGGCUUUACUACAGGCAAAUUGUGCCUGAUGAAUUUGGUGGUCUUCUAUGACAUGAUUAAGGCAUUGGUGAAUGGCAAGAAUGGGAAGAAUGACUGAUGAAAUCUAUCUGGACUUGAGCAAAACAUUUAAUGCUGUCUUACAUGACAACCUUGUCUCUAAACUGGAAACAUGGAUUGACAGGUGGAAUAUGUGGUGAAUAACGAAUUGGUUGGGUGGAUGCGCUUAAAGACUUGCAGUCAAUGGCUUGAUGUCCAAGUACAGACCAGGCAUGAGUAAUAUUCCUCAGAAGUCAGUACUGGGGCUGUUUAAUGUCUUUGUUGGUGAUGUGGGCUGUGGGAUUCAGUGAACUGUCAGUGCUCAACAGCACCAAACUGUCUGGUGCAGCCAACAUGCUGGUGGGAAGGGAUAUGUCAUCCAGAGGAACCUUGACAGUUAGAGGUGUCAUGUUUCCAAUGAAUAUGAACCCAAAUGGAUGAAAUAAGACUGAUUUUUAAAACCAAAGCUUUCAAUGCAGCAUGGUAUGAUCAGCAACUGGAUCAUUCUCCAAACUCACUUAGCAGGAUCCUUUGGAACAAAAGUUCCAGCAUUCAGCUGGAUGAACACAUCGUGGGAUGGGUGAGCAGCUGGCUCAUGGGUUGGGCACAGAGGGUUACAGUGAAUGGGGUGACAUCAGAGUGAUAAACUGUCACUAGAGGGGCUCCACAGAGCUCCAUCCUUGGCCCUGAUCUCUUUAACAUCUUCAUAAACAACUUAGACAUGGGAAUGGAAGGGAUACUGAGCAAGUUUGGAGAAGAUAUAAAACUGUGAGGAGCUGUUGCCUCCCUCAAAGACAGGGAGGCCCUACAGAGAGACCUCGACAAAUCAGAGGGCUGAGCAAUCACCAACCACGUGGAGUUCAACAGGGCAAAGUGCUGGAUUCUGCAACUGAGAUGGGGUUACCCUGGAUGUAUGGAUAGACUGGGGAUUGAGAUGCUGGAAAGCAGUGCAGCAGAAAGGGAUGUGGGGAUCCUACUUGACUGAAAGCUGAACAAGAAUCAGCAGUGACCUGGAAGCCAGGAGGGCUGAGUGCGUGCUGGAAUGCUUCAGGCAUAACAUCACCAACCAAGAGGAUGCUGGUAAUGUCCCCCAGGAAUCAGUCUUGGGUCCAGUUCGAUGACUCCAGAUUAUUCCAGAAGACCCACCACAGAACACAGCUAAGCCCAUCAGCCAAGCUGGUGGUGCCUCUAGGAAAAUAUAUUUAAGAAUGAGAAGAAAAUUCCAAACAGGCAGAGAGAACACAAAGAGUGAGAAACAGCAGAGGGAACACCACAGUCACAGAAAAGAGGAGAAAUGGUUUCCCAGUCACCGAACAAGGUAUUUAAUUUGGAGUCCAUGAAGGACCCACAUGAGAUUAGAGGAAAAGUGUGAGACACAAGGAACAACAGACACAAACCACCGUGCACUGACUGUACACACUCCCAAAGUAUUUUCACUGACUCGUUGAAGGGCUGAAGGGAUUGAGGCAGACUUUAGCAAUUAGGAGAGGGAAGAGAUGAAGAGUAAGAAAACUGUCUUUUCCAUUUUUUUAAUGACUGAAGCAAAAAUCAAUUAAUUUGAAGAACUAUUAAAAAAACCUAAAACAUUCCUGAUAUUCUGAUGGUAAACCUCACUUUAGGAUUAUGCCUGAAAUAUUUGCCAGAUUUUUUCUACUUCUGAACUCAUGCCACUGAGGGAAUUUCUAAAGUUCUUUUGUUUAUAUUUUUAGAAGAUAGUCUCAACUAUAUUUUCUUCAAUGUGUAAUAACCUUUUGCUGGGCUUUCUUUGAAACCAUCUACUUAACAUUGCUGUGUAGUCUUUUUUCAGAUUUCUGCUGGCCUAAGAUAGAAGAUUGAUAGUCAGACUGUCCCUCUGGGAAAAGAAAAGAAAAAAAGAGUAAUAAACACC
This is an RNA transcript of Catharus ustulatus (Swainson's thrush), 2646 nucleotides long. RefSeq lists it as uncharacterized. Lineage: Eukaryota; Metazoa; Chordata; Aves; Passeriformes; Turdidae. The transcript is spliced from 6 exons. The record is from RefSeq and is a predicted model, not a curated record.